AAAGGAGCAAUCCGCUAUGAGAUGGGCCCGCGGCGCAUUAGCUAGUUGGUGAGGUAACGGCUCACCAAGGCGACGGUGCGUAGCCGACCUGAGAGGGUGAUCGGCCACAUUGGGACUGAGACACGGCCCAGACUCCUACGGGAGGCAGCAGUGGGGAAUAUUGCACAAUGGGGGAAACCCUGAUGCAGCAACGCCGCGUGAGUGAUGACGGCCUUCGGGUUGUAAAGCUCUGUCUUCAGGGACGAUAAUGACGGUACCUGAGGAGGAAGCCACGGCUAACUACGUGCCAGCAGCCGCGGUAAUACGUAGGUGGCGAGCGUUGUCCGGAUUUACUGGGCGUAAAGGGAGCGUAGGCGGAUUUUUAAGUGAGAUGUGAAAUACUCGGGCUUAACCUGAGUGCUGCAUUUCAAACUGGAAGUCUAGAG
This 425-nucleotide ribosomal RNA is filed under the name uncultured Clostridium sp. Its description in RNAcentral is "bacterial SSU rRNA". It matches the Rfam family "Bacterial small subunit ribosomal RNA", at positions 202 to 646 of the family's 1533-position model. Lineage: Bacteria; Bacillati; Bacillota; Clostridia; Eubacteriales; Clostridiaceae. The record is from RNAcentral.